AUUGAACGCUGGCGGAAUGCUUUACACAUGCAAGUCGAACGGCAGCACGGACUUCGGUCUGGUGGCGAGUGGCGAACGGGUGAGUAAUACAUCGGAACGUGCCCAGUCGUGGGGGAUAACGUAGCGAAAGCUACGCUAAUACCGCAUACGAACUAAGGAUUAAAGCGGGGGAUCGCAAGAACUCGCGCGAUUGGAGCGGCCGAUGGAAGAUUAGGUAGUUGGUAGGGUAAAGGCCUACCAAGCCGACGAUAUGUAGCUGGUCUGAGAGGAUGAUCAGCCACACUGGGACUGAGACACGGCCCAGACUCCUACGGGAGGCAGCAGUGGGGAAUUUUGGACAAUGGACGCAAGUCUGAUCCAGCCAUUCCGCGUGCAGGAUGAAGGCCCUCGGGUUGUAAACUGCUUUUGUACAGAACGAAAAGGCUCUGGUUAAUACCUGGGGCUCAUGACGGUACUGUAAGAAUAAGCACCGGCUAACUACGUGCCAGCCGCCGCAGUAA
This 500-nucleotide ribosomal RNA is filed under the name uncultured bacterium. RNAcentral describes it as "partial 16S ribosomal RNA". It matches the Rfam family "Bacterial small subunit ribosomal RNA", at positions 30 to 523 of the family's 1533-position model. The record is from RNAcentral.